UACGUAGGGGGCGAGCGUUGUCCGGAAUCAUUGGGCGUAAAGGGCGCGUAGGCGGCUAUACAAGUCUGAUGUGAAAGUGCGGGGCUUAACUCCGUAAAGCAUUGGAAACUGUAUGGCUUGAGGACAGGAGAGGAAAGUGGAAUUCCACGUGUAGCGGUGAAAUGCGUAGAGAUGUGGAGGAACACCAGUGGCGAAGGCGACUUUCUGGACUGUAACUGACGCUGAGGCGCGAAAGCGUGGGGAGCGAACAGGAUUAGAUACCCUGGUAGUCCACGCCGUAAACGAUGAAUGCUAGGUGUAGAGGGUAUCGACCCCUUCUGUGCCGCAGUUAACACAAUAAGCAUUCCGCCUGGGGAGUACGGCCGCAAGGUUGAA
Molecule: ribosomal RNA, 375 nt
Filed under: uncultured bacterium
Lineage: Bacteria
Description: bacterial SSU rRNA
Rfam family: Bacterial small subunit ribosomal RNA
Source: RNAcentral